This 1289-nucleotide ribosomal RNA is filed under the name Clostridioides difficile. RNAcentral's name for it is "partial 23S ribosomal RNA". It matches the Rfam family "Bacterial large subunit ribosomal RNA", at positions 1603 to 2907 of the family's 2925-position model. The record is from RNAcentral. Lineage: Bacteria; Bacillati; Bacillota; Clostridia; Peptostreptococcales; Peptostreptococcaceae.
CACUGUCAAGAAAAGUCUCUAUCGAGGUUAAAGGUACCCGUACCGCAAACCGACACAGGUGGGUGAGGAGAGUAUCCUAAGGCUAGCGAGAGAACUGUUGUUAAGGAACUCGGCAAAAUGACCCCGUAACUUAGGGAUAAGGGGUGCCACCAUCAGGUGGCCGCAGAGAAUAGGCCCAAGCGACUGUUUACCAAAAACAUAGGUUUCUGCUAAGUCGCAAGACGAUGUAUAGGAGCUGACGCCUGCCCGGUGCUGGAAGGUUAAGGGGAUCUGUUAGAGCAAUCGAAGCAGUGAACUUAAGCCCCAGUAAACGGCGGCCGUAACUAUAACGGUCCUAAGGUAGCGAAAUUCCUUGUCGGGUAAGUUCCGACCCGCACGAAAGGCGUAACGAUUUGGGCACUGUCUCAACAACAGACUCGGUGAAAUUGUAAUUCCGGUGAAGAUGCCGGAUACCUGCGACAGGACGGAAAGACCCCAUGGAGCUUUACUGUAGCUUGACAUUGGGUCUUGGUACUACAUGUACAGGAUAGGUGGGAGGCUUUGAAACCAGGACGCCAGUUUUGGCGGAGCCAUCCUUGGGAUACCACCCUUGUAGUACUGGGACUCUAACCAUAGGCCAUGAAUCUGGUCUUGGGACACUGUCAGGUGGGCAGUUUGACUGGGGCGGUCGCCUCCCAAAAGGUAACGGAGGCGCUCAAAGGUUCUCUCAGUACGGUCGGAAAUCGUACGUAGAGUGUAAAGGCAAAAGAGAGCUUGAUUGCAAGACAUACAGGUCGAGCAAGGAUGAAAAUCGGACUUAGUGAUCCGGUGGUUCUGCGUGGAAGGGCCAUCGCUCAACGGAUAAAAGCUACCCUGGGGAUAACAGGCUUAUCUCCCCCAAGAGUCCACAUCGACGGGGAGGUUUGGCACCUCGAUGUCGGCUCAUCACAUCCUGGGGCUGUAGUAGGUCCCAAGGGUUGGGCUGUUCGCCCAUUAAAGUGGUACGCGAGCUGGGUUCAGAACGUCGUGAGACAGUUCGGUCCCUAUCCGUCGCAGGCGUAGGAAAUUUGAGAAGACCUGUCCUUAGUACGAGAGGACCGGGAUGGACGUACCUCUGGUGUACCAGUUGUCCUGCCAAGGGCAUGGCUGGGUAGCUAUGUACGGAAUGGAUAAGCGCUGAAAGCAUCUAAGCGCGAAGCCAACUUCAAGAUAAGAUUUCCCACCGCAAGGGUAAGACCCCAGAAAGACUAUCUGGUUGAUAGGUCGAAGGUGUAAGUGCAGCAAUGUAUUUAGCUUAUCGAUACUAAUAG